RNA transcript from Vespa crabro (European hornet), 2982 nucleotides. It is a transcript of the gene named transient receptor potential channel pyrexia-like, with no coding region annotated. The transcript has 3 exons. Lineage: Eukaryota; Metazoa; Arthropoda; Insecta; Hymenoptera; Vespidae. The record is from RefSeq and is a predicted model, not a curated record.
CCUGAGAAUAGAAUUUGUAGGAAAAAAAAACUUUACGUUAACUUUUUGGUGAAAUCGAAAAAACGAAGAUGGAUAGUCUAAAGCCACCAAAUUCUAUAAACAACAACAACAGCAAUAAUAAUAAUAAUAAUAACAACAACAACAACAACGAAGGAAGACGAAGACUUUAUUCCAUGUCUUGCUUGAACGAUCGUCCCAACGGUGGAGAUCCAUUAUCCGUGAGAUUGGCUUCAACUUAUAGGUCAGCAAGAUAUGGACACGUUAACGAUUAUUGUCCUGAACGAAUAGUUGUAGUCGAAGAGGACUUAACAGCUAAUUCAACGAAUAAACACGAUGAGAUCGACGCGGGUGAUCCACCACCAGUCGAUGAAUCUCUUUUCUUCGAUAAUUUUGAAGCACUGAGAAAUGCAUUACGAGUAGACGGUAGCAAUAUAAGGUCAGUCUUCUGGUCUAUGCUCAAUGUUACCGAGAUCAAAUUAUUAUUGGAAAUGGAAAAGAAUUGUAUCGUGCCGUCGGAAAUCUCAUUGAAUGAACAUUUGAAGAAUCUUUCUUAUAUUUGGGCAUGUCAUCGUGGCCUAUCUCAUCUUUUACCUAAACUCGAAGAAUUGGGAGCCGAUAUUAAUUAUAUCGAACCGUGCACUGGUAUGAAUGCUAUUCUAACAGCAUCCUUGAGUGGAAAUGUGUCAUGUUUGGAACAUCUUAUAAGAAAAGGUGUCGAUGUUAAUUGUGCAAAUCCAACGAAUCAUUACACGUCCCUUCACUUUGCGGCUUCAGGAAAAUCGAGAGAAACGACCGUUCUACUUUUGGACAGCGGCGCCAAGUUAAAUACUUGUGCUUAUGAGGAAAUAGUCGAACCGGUACUUCACUGUGCCAUUCGGGCAAAUGCGUUAGAUGUGGUGAAGGUACUCUUGGAACGGGGCGCUAGCGUUGUCGAAAAGAAUCAUCUUGGAGAGACACCCCUUCAUGUUGCUUGUUUCGUCCAAUCGAUACCCUGUGUCGAAUUAUUGCUAACUGUACCAGGUAGUAACAUUAAUGCUGUAGAUCGUACGCAUAGGACCCCAUUACAUUUUGCCGUUAUGAGUACAGAUUCUUCGGCAGUGUUGGUUGAACUUUUAUUGAAGCAUGGUGCUUUAGUCAAUGCGGCAGAUCGAACGGGCUUCACACCUCUUCAUAUAGCUGCUUUGAACGAACAGUCCCAUUGCGUGGAUACUUUGAUUUGGGCCGGAGCUGACGUCAGUGCUACAACAAGUGCAGGCUUAUCAGCUUUAAACAUCAUAUUAAGAAAAAUACCAGAAUCUUUGCAAGUCUUUCGGGAAAGACUCGAUGCCUCUAUCAGGCUUAGACGGCCUGUACCACAUAACAGAGAAUUCGAAAUGAGAUUACACUUUGACCUACUAUUUCCUAGCAACAAUCAAUGCGAAACCAGUUUCAUCAAUACUUUCGUACAAGAACGUCGAAAAGAUCUGCUAUCUCAUCCAUUGGUCAUGGCCUUUCUUCAUCUCAAAUGGGAGAAGAUAAGAAAGUUUUAUUUGAUGAGAAUCUUCCUUUAUGCCAUGACGGUGAUCUGUAUGACUACUUAUGUUCUAACGGCACUUGCAUACAAAUGUUACAAUCACGAUGAUUUUCCAAGUUCAAAGAUCUGCAACAGCAAAAGAAUUUCAGGCUUUCUAUUCAGAAGGCCAGUUAUCGAAAUUGAAUGGUACCUCUGUCUCGUAUUAACCUGUGUCACAAUACCCAGAAAGAUAUUUGGUUUUAUGGUUUACAAAUCGGUGAAACAAUAUUUCUCGAACAUAGAUAAUGUCCUCGAUGGUAUAGUUAUUGUAAGCGUUUUCGUAACGUCAUUUGUUUACACAGGAAAGACAUACGAUUGGCAAAAUUAUGUCGGUGCAUUCGCCAUACUUUGCGCCUGGACAAAUCUUAUGCUGAUGGUUGGACAAUUGCCUGCUUUUGGAACUUACGUUGCCAUGUUCACACAUAUACAAUUUGAAUUUGCUAAACUUUUAUUGGCUUAUUCUGGAUUAUUGAUAGGAUUCACCAUUAGCUUUUGCGUUAUUUUCGUUGGUGAACCAGCCUUUGGUAAUCCUUUUACCGGACUUAUCAAGGUGUUAGCAAUGAUGGCCGGCGAAUUGGACUUUGAGGGUCUUAUUAAUCAAGCGGAUCAAGUUGCCGACGGUCCUUUCGUGAUUUAUCAUCCAUUAUCUGUCUGUUCACAAAUUCUCUUCACUCUCUUCAUCGUUUUUGUAACGGUGAUAUUAAUGAACUUAUUAGUUGGCAUCGCCGUACAUGAUAUUAAUGGUUUAAGAAAUCAUGCAGGACUUACCAAGCUGGUACGUCAAACUAAAUUAAUUCUUUUCACUGAAAUGGUACUGCAUAAUGCUUCCAUACCAUAUACCUUUCGAAAAUGGAUGACCGAUCAUAAAAUAGACGUUGAAAAUCGUAAACACGUCCUUGUUGUAAAACCAUUAAAUCCUUUGGAGAAACGAUUGCCUAAGGAUAUUUUAAAAGCUGCUUAUGAGAUUGCACAAAAGAACAUGCCAUAUAUCAAUGAUGACAAUAUUAGUCUUAGCGACCAUGUAACUUGGAUGAAGCAACAAAGUGAAGAAUCAUCCGAGUCUGGUUUGAGAUUGGCCGUCGAAGAAUUAUCAGCAAGAUUGAAUGCAAAUGAAGAAACAAUAAAGUCUCUUAAAACACAAUUGUUACAUAUGAAUGACAUAUUGGAGGAUAUUGUUAAUCGUUUGGCGAAGGACAAGAGUAUAUGAGUUGGGCAAAGUGAAAAUCUUCGUAUAAUCUGUAAUGAUGACGUUUCUUGCGAACAAGUAUUAUAACGGUUAGGUAUAAAUAUAAUAUUUCCAUUAAUUUUUACGAAUAUGGUUGAGAAAGUUGAUAUCGAAGCCACUGUUGAAAAUGGAGGACCUACUGGACAAUCAGGCGCGAUAAGGUGGGGCAUUGCAUGGGGUCUCCGAAGUUUCGUUACUCCUGAGG